GGUCUUUAUAAAUGCAAGAGGGAGGCAGAAGAGAGAGAAGUGGAGAAACGGCAGCAUGAGGGGGACUUGGCCUGAUCUUGCUAGCUUUGAAGAUAGAGAAAUGGGGUAAUGAGCCAAGGAAUGCAGGCAGCCUCUAAAAAAGAAGAAAAAGCAAGAAAACAAAUUAUCCCUGGGAGCCUUCAGAAAGAAACACAGCCCUGGCAACACCAGGAUUUUAGCCCGGCAAAACCCAUUUCAGACUUCCGAUCUCCAGAACAUGGAAACCAAGCCCACAGAAUCCAGCUCCCCUCCCUCUACCCAAUCACCACCACGAUCUGCUUUUCUGAGUCCUGGGCCAAGCAGAUGUGCAGUUCCAUGAGGAAGAAUGCCACCUCCUUCUGCAUAUUUUCUUCCCAACUGCUUACAUUGAAGACAUAUGAAGACUUCAGGCCUACCACCAGAUGCGAAAGCAAUGUCCUUGAACAGAUUUCUAAUCAGCUGUCACAAUUGUGUAAGAUCAAUUAUUAUAAGUUAGGCUCCUAUAAUAAUCCCCUUGAUUCUACGUUGUUCUUAGUAGUUGUGCUUCCCUGUUUGAACCCUAAGGAAUAGACUCUGCUGUAUUUGUCCUUAUAAGAGCUUGACAUGGUAAAUGCUUAACUGUUUAUUUUCUGACCACCUCUAGUAGAAGAUAAGCUCCUUGCGGAUAGGCAGUUUUGUUUAUUUUAUUCAUGGCCAUAUCUAUAGCAUAUAUAAUUGUG
This 737-nucleotide long non-coding RNA is filed under the name Equus caballus (horse). Its description in RNAcentral is "lncRNA (ENSECAG00000045249.1)". The record is from RNAcentral. Lineage: Eukaryota; Metazoa; Chordata; Mammalia; Perissodactyla; Equidae.